This 253-nucleotide ribosomal RNA is filed under the name uncultured bacterium. RNAcentral describes it as "partial 16S ribosomal RNA". It matches the Rfam family "Bacterial small subunit ribosomal RNA", at positions 524 to 776 of the family's 1533-position model. The record is from RNAcentral.
UACGUAGGGUCCGAGCGUUGUCCGGAAUUACUGGGCGUAAAGAGCUCGUAGGUGGUUUGUCGCGUUGUUCGUGAAAACUCACAGCUUAACUGUGGGCGUGCGGGCGAUACGGGCAGACUGGAGUACUGCAGGGGAGACUGGAAUUCCUGGUGUAGCGGUGGAAUGCGCAGAUAUCAGGAGGAACACCGGUGGCGAAGGCGGGAUCCUGGGCCAGUACUGACGCUGAGGAGCGAAAGCGUGGGGAGCAAACAGG